GCCGGGGUAGCUCAGGUGGUAGAGCAGCGGACUGAAAAUCCGCGUGUCGGCGGUUCGACUCCGCCCCCCGGCACAA
This 76-nucleotide transfer RNA is filed under the name Dehalococcoidia bacterium. RNAcentral's name for it is "tRNA-Phe". It matches the Rfam family "tRNA". Rfam says of the family: Transfer RNA (tRNA) molecules are approximately 80 nucleotides in length. Lineage: Bacteria; Bacillati; Chloroflexota; Dehalococcoidia. The record is from RNAcentral.